UUGGAUCACGCCCACUACCAGCCGAAUCAAAAAAAAGAUCCAAGGGAUUCAGUCAUGUUCUAAUCAACAACUGCGGCGAGCGGUUUGGGGCUAGGCGAGCGGCGGCCAUCGUCCGACAGUGAUACGAGUGGGCCCGGCGGGAGCUCGGCCUCCAGCGCCGUUCUCUCAAGCCCGGUGUGGUGGACGACGCCUCGCCGGCGAUGAACACCUGGCCACACCGCCACAGUCGGGCGCAGUCCGCGAGUCAGGGGUUGGAGGCGUCCUCGUCUAGUCGACGAGCUGGUUAUGGUCGGGAGGGCAGCGCGUCGUGGCUGCUGCGUGAAGAGGUACUUCAUCGCUUUUCGGUAGAUGCCCCCAAAUGAUUAUGCUUUAGGAUCCAGCCCUUUCAAUUUGAUUCUAUUUUACGGAGCUAUGGUUGAUUCUCACUACAACUUCACCAUCGAUUGCUUUAUUAUGCCUGACUACCUACGUAAAUCAAGAUCCCGCAGGCUGGCAUCCAUGGCUGGAUAUGCUUCAGUAGCCUCACUUUAUUUUCUUUAUUUUUUUGCGGGGUAGCCUCACUUUAUUGCCUCGAUGUUGCCGGUCGAUGGCCGUAGCCUUAUUCGUUUUGCCUCAGAUCUUGGACUAUUGCUUCAGGAGCAAACACAUAUAACAAUAAAUCAGACGCAUGCAGGCAAUACUUCACUGCACACGAUAUAUUUGAUCCGGCAACUAGUUUAUCCAUAUCGUUGAUUGAUGCGGAACAAACAUACUAAUGGUCAAUUUCGCAAUUCAGUUCUUGUUCUCGCCCACUAAUAAUAAUAAAAAGCGACGAAAUCCUUAUCCGUCACUUGCUGCUAGUAAUCCCGAAAAGAAACCAAGCAAAGGUUUGGGAGUAAAAACUAAUUCCUUGCCCAAUACACUACUAAGUCCCUCCUCUAAAGUCAUAUCCCUCUUCCCAUUAUUACCAAAUACUCCCUCCGUCCGGAAAUACUUGUCGGAGCAAUGGAUGUAUCUAGAUGUAUUUUAGUUCUAGAUACAUUCAUAUUUAUGCAUUUCUUCGACAAGUAUUUCCGGACGGAGGGAGUAGGCUAUAGAUGAGUUGCUCGGGUGGCCUGAAGCAAAACAAGAACCAUUUGUACUCCAAUUGGUUAGGUGCGUGGUUUUAUUGUUCUUCAGUUUAUUAGUGCGAAGUUGGUUGCAUCAUCCGCUUCAGGAGAUAGUCAUGUGCGCCACGAAAUUAGCUUCACCUAGAGAUAGUAUGAGCAGGCAUACCUCCUAGUCUAGCUAGCUGGGCUAUGCAACUAUCUGAUUGUUUUUUUUAGAAAAGAAGGAUGACCCCCGGCCUCUGCAUCUGGGAGAUGCAUGUGGUCAUUUUAUUAAUUAUUCUCGAGGACCUUACAAAGUAGAACAACAAUAUGCCUGAAUCCGCCAUCUUGGCAACUUCUGCCGCUACUCCUAUCCAAAUGAUGAAGGGGUGCAAGUUGGGCCACAUACCCAGAGCUCUCACCUAAGCCUAACAUCUAAAGCCGAAGUCCCCGACCGAGCCAUCUGCCGGGUCCGGGGCUCAAACCGGUCCGACGCACUCACAUCUGUCGUCGCCGCCAUCUUCCACUGGUCCAUCUUCAGAGCAGCUAUCUGAUUGUAAUUGAGGACUAGUGUCUUUGGUAGUUCCAACAAAUCAGGGAUUCAGUACGAAGCUUAUUGGCAUUCGGUAUUCGAGUUUGUUUGUUUUGCCUCCAUAAUAUAUGGUGAUAUCUAUAUAAACCCAAGAAAACAUAUGUUGGCUUUUCAGCUCUACCAUUGUCCUGUACAAACUGGAAUAGUUGGAUAACGUGAACCGUGAAUAAGGGUUCAGUUAUGUUUUAAGGAGUGGAGAAAGAAUAUUUCAAGUAGGCUCAUGACGAUCACCUAUUCACUUCGAUUCUGUUUUCAGCGGCUUGAAUUGGGCAAUUAAGCGUUGGCUAUAAGAUAAAUGGGUACCCACUGAUUUUGGGAUUUAUGUUAGCUUGAAGACAACAGUUUAUACCCAAAUAAAGUGAAACAAACAUUAUCUCUAGUACUGAGAUGAGAAGUAUCUCAGGUCUGUAGGUGCAGAAUCAGGGUGGACUAUAAUGGAGCAUAUGCAUUAGCUUGAAGACAAUAGUUUAGCUCAAAGAAGAUGAAUCAAACAUUAUAACGAGCACUGAGAUGAGAAAUAUUUCGGAUCUGUAAGUGCCGAAUCAGGAUAUAUUAUAAUGUGGCUUAGCUAUAUUUUAUUUUGGUGAUGCCGACUAACCUAUGACUAGCUAUGCAGCUUUUCAUGUAAAAAUAAAGGAAAAACUUGGCUUAUUUUCUACUCCCUCCGUUUCAAAAUAUAAGCCCUUUUAGAGAUUUCAAUGCAAACUACAUACGGAUGUAUAUAAACAUAUUAUAGAGUAUAGAUUCACUCAUUUUGCUUCGUAUGUAGUCUAUAUUGGAAUCUCUAAAAAGGCUUAUAUUUAGAAACAGAGGGAGUACAUGCCGCCAAGGCAUAAUUUCUGAUCCAUUGUAGAACGGAAUUUUUUCUGUUCAUGCAUGAGAAUACACACAUAAACCAUUUAUUACUGAACGAAGAAUCCUUUUAUCAAGUUUCUACUUUGUACUGGAGCUUUCAGAUUUAGCAUCUGUUUUGGCACCUUACGGAAACAGACAUAAUUUACUGUUUAUUUCCAGCCAUUGAUUCUACAGCAUAUCUACGCACCACUUCUUUUUCAGAUUCUUGUAAACUGUAUGACAUUGAUUUUGAUCUUCUAUAACAUUUCUCCUGUCUUUCAGAACUAUCCAUUCAAAUAUCAGGUAUUCUGGGUAAUCUUUUGUGAUGUCAUGUUUAGCACAAUAAUUUUCUGAGUAAAUCCAACGUUCCAGGAAUCUUUAUAUUUUAGUUGCAUUUAUUGCACGAUCUAGAAGAGAAGCUUCGAUUUUGGCAAUAGACGCUGCAGAAAGUUGUUGCUAGUUUUGGAGGUUUAUAUGUGAUAGUUCUCGUGUCCUAUGUGUGAGCAGCAGUACAAGUGAGUUAACAUGUUUACGAGUUUAUCACAUGGUUUUCUCAAACAAAAAAGUAGCUUCCUGAUGAAUCAGAUGCAUUUCUGUGUGGUGCUUCAGCUGAUGCGUCGCUUGUCAGGCCUGUCGUGGAUAAUCGGUGCAUGGUAGGAAGAACAAUGGCAAAACGAGGACGGACUGAAGGCAGCAGAUUCCGUGUUGGUCGGAGGGGAAGACGUUGUCUUUAUCUAAGUGCCUCCUGCAACCAUCUCCUUGUAGCCUCAGAUAAUGACUUCAGGUAGGGCAGACCGAGUGACAUAACUGUAACUGUGAUAAUCAUUUUAGUAAUCUUAUUUGAUGACAUUUCUGGAGGGAUAUGUUCCUCAGCUGUUCAUAUUAAUGUUUCUUACUGUCGUCGGCUAAAAUUUCACAUUCAAACUGAACUUGUUAUCACAGAAGUUAGG
Molecule: long non-coding RNA, 3443 nt
Filed under: Triticum aestivum (bread wheat)
Lineage: Eukaryota; Viridiplantae; Streptophyta; Magnoliopsida; Poales; Poaceae
Description: long non-coding RNA (TAES_LNC018345)
Rfam family: MIR1120/MIR1122 microRNA precursor family (bases 948-1072)
Source: RNAcentral